This 1333-nucleotide ribosomal RNA is filed under the name mouse gut metagenome. RNAcentral describes it as "bacterial LSU rRNA". It matches the Rfam family "Bacterial large subunit ribosomal RNA", at positions 1104 to 2448 of the family's 2925-position model. The record is from RNAcentral.
GCUUGGAAGCAGCCAUUCAUUUAAAGAGUGCGUAACAGCUCACUAGUCGAGGAGUCGGGCGUGGAUAAUAAUCGGGUAUCAAGUUGUCUACCGAAGCAGUGGGAUCAUUAAUAUGAUCGGUAGGGGAGCAUUCCAGUCAGCGUCGAAGGCGUACCGUGAGGUAUUCUGGAGCGUCUGGAAAAGCAAAUGUAGGUAUAAGUAACGAUAAAGGGGGCGGGAAACCCCCUCGCCGAAAGACUAAGGUUUCCUGAUCAACGCUAAUCGGAUCAGGGUCAGUCGGGUCCUAAGGCUCAGCCGAACGGCGAUGCCGAUGGCAGAAACGGUUAAUAUUCCGUUACUACCUUCAGGAGUGACGUGGAGACGCAGUAGUGACAGUGCCGCCAUCUGACGGAAUAGAUGGUUGAAGGGUGUAGGAGUCGAUCAUGGCAGGCAAAUCCACCAUGAGAUCCGAACCUGAUAGUAUGCCGCGUCCUUCGGGACAAGGCAAUAGUGCGCGUAAGCAUGCUGCCGAGAAAAUCCGCUAAACUUAAUCCUGCAGGUACCCGUACCGCAAACGGACACACGUAGUCGGGAUGAAUAUUCUAAGGCGCUUGAGUGAUUCACGGUUAAGGAACUAGGCAAACUGACCCUGUAACUUCGGGAUAAAGGGUCCCUACCCUUUUAUGGGAGGGCGCAGAGAAUCGGUCCAGGCAACUGUUUAACAAAAACACAGGGCUGUGCCAAAUCGAAAGAUCCAGUAUACAGCCUGACACCUGCCCGGUGCUGGAAGGUUAAGAGGAGAUGUCAUCGAUAAGAGAAGCGUUGAAUUGAAGCCCCAGUAAACGGCGGCCGUAACUAUAACGGUCCUAAGGUAGCGAAAUUCCUUGUCGGGUAAGUUCCGACCUGCACGAAUGGUGUAAUGAUCUGGACGCUGUCUCAACCGUGAGCUCAGUGAAAUUGUAGUAUCGGUGAAGAUGCCGAUUACCCGCGAUGGGACGAAAAGACCCCGUGAACCUUUACUAUAGCUUAUCAUUGAAUUUGGGCACGUGAUGUGUAGGAUAGGUCGGAGGCUUUGAAGCAGGUACGCCAGUAUUUGUGGAGCCGCUGUUGAAAUACGACCCUUUAUUUGUUUGGAUUCUAACCCGUGGAUACGGGGACAUUGAUUGGUGGGUAGUUUGACUGGGGUGGUCGCCUCCAAAAGCGUAACGGAGGCUUCUAAAGGUGCCCUCCGGCCGAUUGGUAACCGGCCUUAGAGUGUAAUGGCAUAAGGGCGCUUGACUGGGAGACUAACAAGUCGAUCAGGUAGGAAACUAGAGCAUAGUGAUCCGGUGUUUCCGUAUGGAAGGGACAUCGC